UGGUGCUUGCAUCAUGAUUUACAUUUGAGUGAGUGGCGAACUGGUGAGUAACACGUGGGAAACCUGCCCAGAAGCGGGGGAUAACACCUGGAAACAGAUGCUAAUACCGCAUAACAACUUGGACCGCAUGGUCCGAGCUUGAAAGAUGGCUUCGGCUAUCACUUUUGGAUGGUCCCGCGGCGUAUUAGCUAGAUGGUGGGGUAACGGCUCACCAUGGCAAUGAUACGUAGCCGACCUGAGAGGGUAAUCGGCCACAUUGGGACUGAGACACGGCCCAAACUCCUACGGGAGGCAGCAGUAGGGAAUCUUCCACAAUGGACGAAAGUCUGAUGGAGCAACGCCGCGUGAGUGAAGAAGGGUUUCGGCUCGUAAAACUCUGUUGUUAAAGAAGAACAUAUCUGAGAGUAACUGUUCAGGUAUUGACGGUAUUUAACCAGAAAGCCACGGCUAACUACGUGCCAGCAGCCGCGGUAAUACGUAGGUGGCAAGCGUUGUCCGGAUUUAUUGGGCGUAAAGCGAGCGCAGGCGGUUUUUUAAGUCUGAUGUGAAAGCCUUCGGCUCAACCGAAGAAGUGCAUCGGAAACUGGGAAACUUGAGUGCAGAAGAGGACAGUGGAACUCCAUGUGUAGCGGUGAAAUGCGUAGAUAUAUGGAAGAACACCAGUGGCGAAAGCGGCUGUCUGGUCUGUAACUGACGCUGAGGCUCGAAAGUAUGGGUAGCAAACAGGAUUAGAUACCCUGGUAGUCCAUACCGUAAACGAUGAAUGCUAAGUGUUGGAGGGUUUCCGCCCUUCAGUGCUGCAGCUAACGCAUUAAGCAUUCCGCCUGGGGAGUACGGCCGCAAGGCUGAAACUCAAAGGAAUUGACGGGGGCCCGCACAAGCGGUGGAGCAUGUGGUUUAAUUCGAAGCUACGCGAAGAACCUUACCAGGUCUUGACAUACUAUGCAAAUCUAAGAGAUUAGACGUUCCCUUCGGGGACAUGGAUACAGGUGGUGCAUGGUUGUCGUCAGCUCGUGUCGUGAGAUGUUGGGUUAAGUCCCGCAACGAGCGCAACCCUUAUUAUCAGUUGCCAGCAUUAAGUUGGGCACUCUGGUGAGACUGCCGGUGACAAACCGGAGGAAGGUGGGGAUGACGUCAAAUCAUCAUGCCCCUUAUGACCUGGGCUACACACGUGCUACAAUGGAUGGUACAACGAGUUGCGAACUCGCGAGAGUAAGCUAAUCUCUUAAAGCCAUUCUCAGUUCGGAUUGUAGGCUGCAACUCGCCUACAUGAAGUCGGAAUCGCUAGUAAUCGCGGAUCAGCAUGCCGCGGUGAAUACGUUCCCGGGCCUUGUACACACCGCCCGUCACACCAUGAGAGU
This 1361-nucleotide ribosomal RNA is filed under the name Lactiplantibacillus plantarum. RNAcentral describes it as "bacterial SSU rRNA". It matches the Rfam family "Bacterial small subunit ribosomal RNA", at positions 62 to 1411 of the family's 1533-position model. Lineage: Bacteria; Bacillati; Bacillota; Bacilli; Lactobacillales; Lactobacillaceae. The record is from RNAcentral.